UCACCUCUCCCCGCCCCCCUGCCCCAGCUCCGGCCCCGACCCUCCUCCAUCUCACCGCACUCCUAUCUCAUCUAUUUCUUCUCUUGUCCCUCCUCCUUCAACCCUCCGGCCCCUCAGGUCCUAACUCCUCCCAGAAGUCUGCCAGGCUUCUGGGAAGUUCUCCUCACAUACAGCCCAGCCCCCAACCUCCCAAACAUGCUCUCUUCGCCCAUAUCCCCUUAAGGACCCUCCCCCAAGUUCUUUCCAUCUUUUGUCUUUUACCUUUCCUUUCCAUGGUGGGGGCGGGGAAGAGAAUGCAAUGAAUUUCAAAACAUUUAUUUAUGGGCAGUAUUAGGCAAGUCCUAGGCAGCGAAAAAGAUAUGAAAAUUAAAAAAAAAAAAACAUAUUGGGGAGGGGGAGAUAGAGUACUCUAGGAACGGGUAUGUCUGAAGUUUCCAGUUAACAAUUUAAUUCAGCAUUUAAAUGCCUUCUGAAUGCAGAACCACCACCACCUGGACUUGGCUGGAGAAGAUUCGGCUCAAACGGUGUGCAGGUGGAAGCAAGAGCUGAGAUCCUUUGUCCUCUUGGACCUCCCUCUACCAUUCUGUGACUGGAAAGAAUGGGGACUCCAGAAGCCUUGCAUAAUGGAGGUAACUGGAGUACCCUAAAGAUUCAUCCUCCAUAUCCGUGCUUAGGAAAUGACACAGACUGUAGCACUGGAGAGAGCCAUGGAGAACAGCUGGACCCAGAGAGAAAAAACCGCCGCCACCCCUCCCCCACUCCUUUCUCAAGCAGCUGAAGAUAACAGGGGUGAGGAGGGGGGAAGUCCUCAGUAGGAGGAAUCCUCAUAAAAUGGUUGUUCAUUCUAA
Antechinus flavipes (yellow-footed antechinus) is the source of this 848-nucleotide long non-coding RNA. RefSeq lists it as uncharacterized. The record is from RefSeq and is a predicted model, not a curated record. Lineage: Eukaryota; Metazoa; Chordata; Mammalia; Dasyuromorphia; Dasyuridae. The transcript has 2 exons.